RNAcentral lists this ribosomal RNA (492 nucleotides) under uncultured bacterium. Its description in RNAcentral is "partial 16S ribosomal RNA". It matches the Rfam family "Bacterial small subunit ribosomal RNA", at positions 29 to 507 of the family's 1533-position model. The record is from RNAcentral.
AGUGAACGCUGGCGGUAGGCCUAACACAUGCGAGUCGAACGGCAGCACAGUAAGAGCUUGCUCUUACGGGUGGCGAGUGGCGGACGGGUGAGGAAUACAUCGGAAUCUACUUUUUCGUGGGGGAUAACGUAGGGAAACUUACGCUAAUACCGCAUACGACCUACGGGUGAAAGCAGGGGAUCUUCGGACCUUGCGCGAUUGAAUGAGCCGAUGUCGGAUUAGCUAGUUGGCGGGGUAAAGGCCCACCAAGGCGACGAUCCGUAGCUGGUCUGAGAGGAUGAUCAGCCACACUGGAGCUGGGACACGGUCCAGACUCCUACGGGAGGCAGCAGUGGGGAAUAUUGGACAAUGGGCGCAAGCCUGAUCCAGCCAUACCGCGUGGGUGAAGAAGGCCUUCGGGUUGUAAAGCCCUUUUGUAGGGAAAGAAAAGCAGCAGGUUAAUACCCCGCUGUUCUGACGGUACCCAAAGAAUAAGCACCGGCUAACUUCGUG